GCAGUCCGUGCAAAGAUUUGCAUAUGUGAGAACCACAACCGGUAUCCAAUACCCAUGAAUUAGAAUCAGAAGAACUUAAUGUCAUAUUGGCAUGUAAUAAAAACAUACCUUUUGAUGCAACACUUGCAUCAGGCUUCACACUUGCAAGAAAGCUCUUGCAGUUCCUUUUUCAAUGCCCCGUCUUGCCGCAGUGGAAACAGGUACCAGAUCCAGAGAUUUUCUUUUCCUUCUUCUUUUUGAUGCGACUCUUAGGGUUUAAUUUUUUCUUUGAACCCUUGUUGCCCGUUUUCUUCUUUGAGCUCUCACCAACAAGAAGGAUC
RNAcentral lists this long non-coding RNA (320 nucleotides) under Phoenix dactylifera (date palm). RNAcentral's name for it is "long non-coding RNA (PDAC_LNC016013)". Lineage: Eukaryota; Viridiplantae; Streptophyta; Magnoliopsida; Arecales; Arecaceae. The record is from RNAcentral.